GUGGGGAAUCUUGCGCAAUGGGCGAAAGCCUGACGCAGCCAUGCCGCGUGAAUGAUGAAGGUCUUAGGAUUGUAAAGCUCUUUCACCGGAGAAGAUAAUGACGGUAUCCGGAGAAGAAGCCCCGGCUAACUUCGUGCCAGCAGCCGCGGUAAUACGAAGGGGGCUAGCGUUGUUCGGAAUUACUGGGCGUAAAGCGCACGUAGGCGGACAUUUAAGUCAGGGGUGAAAUCCCGGGGCUCAACCCCGGAACUGCCUUUGAUACUGGGUGUCUGGAGUAUGGAAGAGGUAAGUGGAAUUCCGAGUGUAGAGGUGAAAUUCGUAGAUAUUCGGAGGAACACCAGUGGCGAAGGCGGCUUACUGGUCCAUUACUGACGCUGAGGUGCGAAAGCGUGGGGAGCAAACAGGAUUAGAUACCCCUGUAGUCC
RNAcentral lists this ribosomal RNA (425 nucleotides) under uncultured bacterium. RNAcentral's name for it is "partial 16S ribosomal RNA". It matches the Rfam family "Bacterial small subunit ribosomal RNA", at positions 354 to 796 of the family's 1533-position model. The record is from RNAcentral.